RNAcentral lists this microRNA (24 nucleotides) under Ananas comosus (pineapple). RNAcentral describes it as "microRNA s0499_c66a". Lineage: Eukaryota; Viridiplantae; Streptophyta; Magnoliopsida; Poales; Bromeliaceae. The record is from RNAcentral.
ACUCUCUCUCUCUCUCUCUCUCUC